GAUGAACGCUAGCGGCAGGCUUAACACAUGCAAGUCGAGGGGUAUAGGGAGCUUGCUUCCUAGAGACCGGCGCACGGGUGCGUAACGCGUAUGCAAUCUACCUUUUACAGGGGAAUAGCCCAGAGAAAUUUGGAUUAAUGCCCCAUAGCAUUAUAGAAUGGCAUCAUUUUAUAAUUAAAGUCACAACGGUAAAAGAUGAGCAUGCGUCCCAUUAGCUAGUUGGUAAGGUAACGGCUUACCAAGGCUAUGAUGGGUAGGGGUCCUGAGAGGGAGAUCCCCCACACUGGUACUGAGACACGGACCAUACUCCUACGGGAGGCAGCAGUGAGGAAUAUUGGACAAUGGGCGCAAGCCUGAUCCAGCCAUGCCGCGUGCAGGAUGAAGCAUCUAUGGUGUGUAAACUGCUUUUAUACGGGAAGAAACCCUGGGACGUGUCCCAGACUGACGGUACCGUAAGAAUAAGGACCGGCUAACUCCGUGCCAGCAGCCGCGGUAAUACGGAGGGUCCAAGCGUUAUCCGGAAUCAUUGGGUUUAAAGGGUCCGUAGGCGGCCCUGUAAGUCAGUGGUGAAAUCUCCCGGCUCAACCGGGAAAUUGCCAUUGAUACUGCAGGGCUUGAAUUAUUGGGAAGUAACUAGAAUAUGUAGUGUAGCGGUGAAAUGCUUAGAUAUUACAUGGAAUACCAAUUGCGAAGGAAGGUUACUAUCAAUAUAUUGACGCUGAUGGACGAAAGCGUGGGUAGCGAACAGGAUUAGAUACCCUGGUAGUCCACGCCGUAAACGAUGGAUACUAGCUGUUCGGAGCAAUCUGAGUGGCUAAGCGAAAGUGAUAAGUAUCCCACCUGGGGAGUACGUUCGCAAGAAUGAAACUCAAAGGAAUUGACGGGGGCCCGCACAAGCGGUGGAGCAUGUGAGUUAAUUCGAUGAUACGCGAGGAACCUUACCAAGGCUUAAAUGUAGAUUGACCGGUUUGGAAACAGAUCUUUCGCAAGACAAUUUACAAGGUGCUGCAUGGUUGUCGUCAGCUCGUGCCGUGAGGUGUCAGGUUAAGUCCUAUAACGAGCGCAACCCCUGUCGUUAGUUGCCAGCGAGUCAUGUCGGGAACUCUAACGAGACUGCCAGUGCAAACUGAGAGGAAGGUGGGGAUGACGUCAAAUCAUCACGGCCCUUACGCCUUGGGCUACACACGUGCUACAAUGGACGGUACAGAGAGCAGCCACUGGGCGACCAGGAGCGAAUCUACAAAACCGUUCACAGUUCGGAUCGGAGUCUGCAACUCGACUCCGUGAAGCUGGAAUCGCCAGUAAUCGGAUAUCAGCCAUGAUCCGGUGAAUACGUUCCCGGGCCU
This 1346-nucleotide ribosomal RNA is filed under the name uncultured bacterium. Its description in RNAcentral is "bacterial SSU rRNA". It matches the Rfam family "Bacterial small subunit ribosomal RNA", at positions 28 to 1381 of the family's 1533-position model. The record is from RNAcentral.